UACGUAGGGUGCAGGCGUUAAUCGGAAUUACUGGGCGUAAAGCGUGCGCAGGCGGUCUUUUAAGUCAGAUGUGAAAUCCCCGGGCUUAACCUGGGAACUGCGUUUGAAACUGGAAGGCUUGAGUGCGGCAGAGGGGGGUGGAAUUCCACGUGUAGCAGUGAAAUGCGUAGAGAUGUGGAGGAACACCGAUGGCGAAGGCAGCCCCCUGGGCUGAGAUUGACGCUCAGGCACGAAAGCGUGGGGAGCAAACAGG
RNAcentral lists this ribosomal RNA (253 nucleotides) under uncultured bacterium. Its description in RNAcentral is "partial 16S ribosomal RNA". It matches the Rfam family "Bacterial small subunit ribosomal RNA", at positions 524 to 776 of the family's 1533-position model. The record is from RNAcentral.